RNAcentral lists this ribosomal RNA (497 nucleotides) under uncultured bacterium. RNAcentral's name for it is "partial 16S ribosomal RNA". It matches the Rfam family "Bacterial small subunit ribosomal RNA", at positions 28 to 507 of the family's 1533-position model. The record is from RNAcentral.
GAUGAACGCUGGCGGCGUGCCUAAUACAUGCAAGUCGAGCGAACAGACGAGGAGCUUGCUCCUCUGACGUUAGCGGCGGACGGGUGAGUAACACGUGGAUAACCUACCUAUAAGACUGGGAUAACUUCGGGAAACCGGAGCUAAUACCGGAUAAUAUAUUGAACCGCAUGGUUCAAUAGUGAAAGACGGUUUUGCUGUCACUUAUAGAUGGAUCCGCGCCGCAUUAGCUAGUUGGUAAGGUAACGGCUUACCAAGGCAACGAUGCGUAGGCGACCUGAGAGGGUGAUCGGCCACACUGGAACUGAGACACGGUCCAGACUCCUACGGGAGGCAGCAGUAGGGAAUCUGCCGCAAUGGGCGAAAGCCUGACGGAGCAACGCCGCGUGAGUGAUGAAGGUCUUCGGAUCGUAAAACUCUGUUAUUAGGGAAGAACAAAUGUGUAAGUAACUAUGCACGUCUUGACGGUACCUAAUCAGAAAGCCACGGCUAACUACGUG